AUUGGGGUGGCUCAGUGGUUAAGGCUUUGUAUUACAGCUAAGAAGGUUGUGUGUUCAAAUCCCAACAUCAUCA
Ameiurus melas (black bullhead) is the source of this 73-nucleotide non-coding RNA. NCBI's taxonomy places the organism in Eukaryota, Metazoa, Chordata, Actinopteri, Siluriformes, Ictaluridae. The record is from the annotation of a GenBank genome assembly.